GUUUCAUUUAAAUUUAUAUUAGAAUUUUAUUUUUUAGUUAAAAAGCUAAAAUUUUGUUAAAAGACGAGAAGACCCUAUAAAUCUUUAUAUUUAUUUUUAUUUUAAUUUUUUAAGAUUAAUUUUAUUAUAAUAAAGUUAAAUAUUUUAUUGGGGUGAUAUUAAAAUUUAAUUAACUUUUAAUUAUUAUAAUUACAUUGAUUUAUGAUUUAUUGAUCCAUUAAUAAUGAUUAAAAAAUUAAGUUACUUUAGGGAUAACAGCGUAAUUUUUUUGGAGAGUUCUUAUCGAUAAAAAAGUUUGCGACCUCGAUGUUGGAUUAAGAGAUAGUUUUAAUGCAGAAGUUAAAAUAUAAAGUCUGUUCGACUUUUAAAUUCUUACAUGAUCUGAGUUCAAACCGGUGUAAGCCAGGUUGGUUUCUAUCUUUAAUUUUAUAUAAUAUUUUAGUACGAAAGGAAUUUAUAUUAGAAAUAAUUUUUUACAUUUGAAU
Molecule: ribosomal RNA, 485 nt
Filed under: Diasemopsis sp. W
Lineage: Eukaryota; Metazoa; Arthropoda; Insecta; Diptera; Diopsidae
Description: partial 16S ribosomal RNA
Rfam family: Bacterial large subunit ribosomal RNA (bases 251-409)
Source: RNAcentral